GCCGAAGUGGCGGAAUUGGCAGACGCACACGACUCAAAAUCGUGCGGGUAACCAUGGGGGUUCGAGUCCCCCCUUCGGCACCA
Molecule: transfer RNA, 83 nt
Filed under: Firmicutes bacterium HGW-Firmicutes-8
Lineage: Bacteria; Bacillati; Bacillota
Description: tRNA-Leu
Rfam family: tRNA
About the family: Transfer RNA (tRNA) molecules are approximately 80 nucleotides in length. Their secondary structure includes four short double-helical elements and three loops (D, anti-codon, and T loops).
Source: RNAcentral